UAUGGAGCUUUAAACAUAUAAUCAACUGCAUAAUAAAAAUCCGAAAGAUUAAAUAUUAAAUAAAACAGUAUGAUCAAAAUUUUAGGUUGGGGCGACCACGGAGAAAAGUAUAACCUCCGAGAUGAAGAGAAUAUCUUAAUUUAAGAACUACAGUUCUAAGAAAUAAAAUAUUUAACAUAAUUGAUCCAAUAUAUUGAUCAACGAACCAAGUUACCCUAGGGAUAACAGCGCAAUCCUCUCCAAGAGUCCCUAUCGACGAGUGGGUUUACGAC
This 272-nucleotide ribosomal RNA is filed under the name Hynobius sonani (Taichu salamander). RNAcentral describes it as "partial 16S ribosomal RNA". It matches the Rfam family "Bacterial large subunit ribosomal RNA", at positions 2092 to 2524 of the family's 2925-position model. Lineage: Eukaryota; Metazoa; Chordata; Amphibia; Caudata; Hynobiidae. The record is from RNAcentral.